Otolemur garnettii (small-eared galago) is the source of this 102-nucleotide unclassified non-coding RNA. It matches the Rfam family "Y RNA". From Rfam's summary of the family: Y RNAs are components of the Ro ribonucleoprotein particle (Ro RNP), in association with Ro60 and La proteins. The record is from Ensembl. NCBI's taxonomy places the organism in Eukaryota, Metazoa, Chordata, Mammalia, Primates, Galagidae.
GGCUGGUCCGAGGGCAGGGGUGUUUACAACGAAUUGAUCACAACCAGUGUCAGAUUCCUUUGUUCCUUCUCCACUCCCACUGCUUCACUUAAGUAGCCCUAA